UACGAAGGGGGCUAGCGUUGCUCGGAAUCACUGGGCGUAAAGCGCACGUAGGCGGCUUUUUAAGUCAGGGGUGAAAUCCUGGAGCUCAACUCCAGAACUGCCUUUGAUACUGAGAAGCUUGAGUCCGGGAGAGGUGAGUGGAACUGCGAGUGUAGAGGUGAAAUGCGUAGAUAUCUGGAGGAACACCGGUGGCGAAGGCGGCAUUCUGGACCGACAUUGACGCUGAGGAGCGAAAGCCAGGGGAGCAAACGGG
This 253-nucleotide ribosomal RNA is filed under the name uncultured bacterium. RNAcentral's name for it is "partial 16S ribosomal RNA". It matches the Rfam family "Bacterial small subunit ribosomal RNA", at positions 524 to 776 of the family's 1533-position model. The record is from RNAcentral.